Molecule: unclassified non-coding RNA, 345 nt
Filed under: soil metagenome
Description: partial contains 5.8S ribosomal RNA, internal transcribed spacer 2, and large subunit ribosomal RNA
Rfam family: 5.8S ribosomal RNA (bases 1-120)
Source: RNAcentral
GAUGAAGAACGUAGCGAAAUGCGAUACGUAAUGUGAAUUGCAGAAUUCAGUGAAUCAUCGAGUCUUUGAACGCACAUUGCGCCCCCUGGUAUUCCGGGGGGCAUGCCUGUCCGAGCGUCAUUGCUGCCCUCAAGCACGGCUUGUGUGUUGGGCCUCCGUCCUCCUCCCGGGGGACGGGCCCGAAGGGCAGCGGCGGCACCGCGUCCGGUCCUCGAGCGUAUGGGGCUUCGUCACCCGCUCUUGUAGGCCCGGUCGGCGCUUGCCGACACAUCAAUCUUUUUUCCAGGUUGACCUCGGAUCAGGUAGGGAUACCCGCUGAACUUAAGCAUAUCAAUAAGCGGAGGA